RNAcentral lists this long non-coding RNA (1082 nucleotides) under Olea europaea subsp. europaea. Lineage: Eukaryota; Viridiplantae; Streptophyta; Magnoliopsida; Lamiales; Oleaceae. The record is from RNAcentral.
ACCACCUCCAAUCCUACCUUGUAAACCUAUAUCAUCAAGGUUCCUAUUCAAUUCAGGAACAUAUAUAACCCUUUCAAGGGUAUAGAUAUAUCCAUUUUCAAAUUUCAAUGUAAUGUUUCCUAUUCCCUCAACCUUGCAGGCUAUGUUAUUUCCCAUUACAACUUCUCCUCCAUUAAUUUUCUUAAAGUUCACUAGCCAACUUUUCUUAAAUGUUAUGUGAAAGGUACAACCAGAAUCCAAGAUCCAUUCUUGGAUCGGAUUUUCCUAGUUUGCCACAUUAGCAGAGUUGGAAUUAUAGAUUUGUUUGGUCACAGCAUACACAUCAACUGUUGUAGGAUCUGUAAGUUUUACAAUAUUUCCUUCAUCUAUCUCUUUUCCUUUCUGUUCCUUUCUUUUCUUAUAGCAAUCUUUAAUAAAAUCUCCAGAUUUCCCACAUCCAUAACAUUUUUUAUUUCUUGUCUUUGACAUAGACCUCCUCUACUUUUGAAUUUCUUUCUAUGAUUAUUUCUCUCAUUACUUUGAUUUUCUUGAGUCCUAUUUAAAGUCCUUCCUCAGACUAACAAAUUCUUAGGUCCAUUGCUUCUUUCAUUUUUAAGUUUAAGAUCUUUACUCCUUAGAGAGUCCAUCACUAUAUCUGGGGUAAGGGUGUCUCUGCCAUAUUUUAUGGCAGCUUUGACUUCCUUAUAAGUCUCAAGAAUAACAUUCUGUAAUACAACAACUUUAUAUUCUUCUGAAACUUUAUCACCAGCAUUGGUGAUAUCUUGAACUAGUUUAUUAAACGUAUCUAAGUUAUCUUCUAGAUCCUUAGAGGGGUCUAUCUUAAAGCUAAAAAAUUUCUCUAACAGGAAUAGCUUAUUAGGUAAAGACUUAACAAGUUUCUCUAGUUCAUCCCAUAAUGCCUUAUCAUUAUCAUGCUAACCUGCUUUCCUCAAAACUUGGUCAGAUAAGUGCAAUAAUGGAGGUAUAAGCAAGUUUAUCAGCUUCAUCCUUUUGAUCUUUUGUCAUGGUUUUAGGAAAUCUUGUGUUGUUGCUUUGGAAACCUUUUAUUGAACUAAGACGCCUACCAUUUUUUGUUGCCAAAU